RNAcentral lists this ribosomal RNA (320 nucleotides) under uncultured Lactobacillus sp. Its description in RNAcentral is "bacterial SSU rRNA". It matches the Rfam family "Bacterial small subunit ribosomal RNA", at positions 349 to 661 of the family's 1533-position model. The record is from RNAcentral. Lineage: Bacteria; Bacillati; Bacillota; Bacilli; Lactobacillales; Lactobacillaceae.
UAGCAGUAGGGAAUCUUCCACAAUGGACGCAAGUCUGACGGAGCAACGCCGCGUGAGUGAAGAAGGUUUUCGGAUCGUAAAACUCUGUUGUUAGAGAAGAACAAGUGCUAGAGUAACUGUUAGCGCCUUGACGGUAUCUAACCAGAAAGCCACGGCUAACUACGUGCCAGCAGCCGCGGUAAUGCGUAGGUGGCAAGCGUUGUCCGGAUUUAUUGGGCGUAAAGCGAGCGCAGGCGGUUCCUUAAGUCUGAUGUGAAAGCCCCCGGCUCAACCGGGGAGGGUCAUUGGAAACUGGGGAACUUGAGUGCAGAAGAGGAGAG